GAUGAACGCUGGCGGCGUGCCUAAUACAUGCAAGUCGAGCGAACGGACGAGAAGCUUGCUUCUCUGAUGUUAGCGGCGGACGGGUGAGUAACACGUGGAUAACCUACCUAUAAGACUGGGAUAACUUCGGGAAACCGGAGCUAAUACCGGAUAAUAUUUUGAACCGCAUGGUUCAAAAGUGAAAGACGGUCUUGCUGUCACUUAUAGAUGGAUCCGCGCUGCAUUAGCUAGUUGGUAAGGUAACGGCUUACCAAGGCAACGAUGCAUAGCCGACCUGAGAGGGUGAUCGGCCACACUGGAACUGAGACACGGUCCAGACUCCUACGGGAGGCAGCAGUAGGGAAUCUUCCGCAAUGGGCGAAAGCCUGACGGAGCAACGCCGCGUGAGUGAUGAAGGUCUUCGGAUCGUAAAACUCUGUUAUUAGGGAAGAACAUAUGUGUAAGUAACUGUGCACAUCUUGACGGUACCUAAUCAGAAAGCCACGGCUAACUACGUGCCAGCAGCCGCGGUAAUACGUAGGUGGCAAGCGUUAUCCGGAAUUAUUGGGCGUAAAGCGCGCGUAGGCGGUUUUUUAAGUCUGAUGUGAAAGCCCACGGCUCAACCGUGGAGGGUCAUUGGAAACUGGAAAACUUGAGUGCAGAAGAGGAAAGUGGAAUUCCAUGUGUAGCGGUGAAAUGCGCAGAGAUAUGGAGGAACACCAGUGGCGAAGGCGACUUUCUGGUCUGUAACUGACGCUGAUGUGCGAAAGCGUGGGGAUCAAACAGGAUUAGAUACCCUGGUAGUCCACGCCGUAAACGAUGAGUGCUAAGUGUUAGGGGUUUCCGCCCCUUAGUGCUGCAGCUAACGCAUUAAGCACUCCGCCUGGGGAGCACGACCGCAAGGUUGAAACUCAAAGGAAUUGACGGGGACCCGCACAAGCGGUGGAGCAUGUGGUUUAAUUCGAAGCAACGCGAAGAACCUUACCAAAUCUUGACAUCCUUUGACAACUCUAGAGAUAGAGCCUUCCCCUUCGGGGGACAAAGUGACAGGUGGUGCAUGGUUGUCGUCAGCUCGUGUCGUGAGAUGUUGGGUUAAGUCCCGCAACGAGCGCAACCCUUAAGCUUAGUUGCCAUCAUUAAGUUGGGCACUCUAAGUUGACUGCCGGUGACAAACCGGAGGAAGGUGGGGAUGACGUCAAAUCAUCAUGCCCCUUAUGAUUUGGGCUACACACGUGCUACAAUGGACAAUACAAAGGGCAGCGAAACCGCGAGGUCAAGCAAAUCCCAUAAAGUUGUUCUCAGUUCGGAUUGUAGUCUGCAACUCGACUACAUGAAGCUGGAAUCGCUAGUAAUCGUAGAUCAGCAUGCUACGGUGAAUACGUUCCCGGGUCU
RNAcentral lists this ribosomal RNA (1371 nucleotides) under uncultured bacterium. Its description in RNAcentral is "bacterial SSU rRNA". It matches the Rfam family "Bacterial small subunit ribosomal RNA", at positions 28 to 1381 of the family's 1533-position model. The record is from RNAcentral.